Molecule: ribosomal RNA, 800 nt
Filed under: Glutamicibacter nicotianae
Lineage: Bacteria; Bacillati; Actinomycetota; Actinomycetes; Micrococcales; Micrococcaceae
Description: bacterial SSU rRNA
Rfam family: Bacterial small subunit ribosomal RNA
Source: RNAcentral
UACACAUGCAAGUCGAACGAUGAAGCCCAGCUUGCUGGGUGGAUUAGUGGCGAACGGGUGAGUAACACGUGAGUAACCUGCCCCCGACUCUGGGAUAAGCCCGGGAAACUGGGUCUAAUACCGGAUAUGACCUCGCACCGCAUGGUGCGGGGUGGAAAGAUUUAUCGGUGGGGGAUGGACUCGCGGCCUAUCAGCUUGUUGGUGAGGUAAUGGCUCACCAAGGCGACGACGGGUAGCCGGCCUGAGAGGGUGACCGGCCACACUGGGACUGAGACACGGCCCAGACUCCUACGGGAGGCAGCAGUGGGGAAUAUUGCACAAUGGGCGAAAGCCUGAUGCAGCGACGCCGCGUGAGGGAUGACGGCCUUCGGGUUGUAAACCUCUUUCAGUAGGGAAGAAGCGAAAGUGACGGUACCUGCAGAAGAAGCGCCGGCUAACUACGUGCCAGCAGCCGCGGUAAUACGUAGGGCGCAAGCGUUAUCCGGAUUUAUUGGGCGUAAAGAGCUCGUAGGCGGUUUGUCGCGUCUGCCGUGAAAGUCCGAGGCUCAACCUCGGAUCUGCGGUGGGUACGGGCAGACUAGAGUGAUGUAGGGGAGACUGGAAUUCCUGGUGUAGCGGUGAAAUGCGCAGAUAUCAGGAGGAACACCGAUGGCGAAGGCAGGUCUCUGGGCAUUUACUGACGCUGAGGAGCGAAAGCAUGGGGAGCGAACAGGAUUAGAUACCCUGGUAGUCCAUGCCGUAAACGUUGGGCACUAGGUGUGGGGGACAUUCCACGUUUUCCGCGCCGUAGCUAACGCAUU